This 1325-nucleotide long non-coding RNA is filed under the name Musa acuminata (dwarf banana). RNAcentral's name for it is "long non-coding RNA (MACU_LNC003881)". Lineage: Eukaryota; Viridiplantae; Streptophyta; Magnoliopsida; Zingiberales; Musaceae. The record is from RNAcentral.
UUGGUAUUGAGCACAUCUGAAUUGAACUCCCUGCAACCUAAACAACAUAUCAUUUUGGUAGCUAAAUGACCAACAAUUAGAACAGCAACACAUAAUCGCAAAUGAGAUAUAAUCAACAUUACUUCAGAUUCUCCUUAUUCAUAGCAUUCCUUUUCUUAUUCUUUUCAAAACAUGUCUAUUCCAAAACUAAUGAAGUUAUUGUUCAGAUCUCAAACUUUUGUGGCACUUGUGCAAAACACAGCAUAAAUUACAACUCAACACAUGCAUGAUCGGCCUGUUAAGUAAUUGACAUGUGAAGAGAGUGAAUACUUUAUAUGCCUUUCGAUCUUGAUCAUCCAGAGUUACUCGCAAGCAUGAAUGAGGCAGAGAAAGAACGAACAGAGGGUGAGGACUAGAAAUCAAAACAUGGAGUUCCUUCAUUUGGUUGCAAGGAAAGGAAGGCAGAGUUGAAGAAGAAGAAGAAGAAGAAGAAGAAGACCAUGAGGACCAUCUCCCCAUCACCAAGUACUAAUGGUGUCAAAAGGUAUCAGAUCGGGUGCUAAAUCUUGCGUUGCAGAAGAACAGGAAUGGCACCAUGGCCCUAUGUGUCUCCCUAAAGCUUUGACUGAUGACAUGGAGCUUCAUGUUCUUCCAUUAUCUAGGAUUUGAAUUAAGAAUGUGAUCCUACUUUAUUUCCCCUCCUUUUUCCCUAAACCCACAACAUUUUGUCCCCCCCUCCCUCAUCAAAUCUUCCACAGUGUUCUGCCGACAAUACUCUCAUCAUCGGGAGUCUUCCAUCCAUUGAUGGCAACUCUCACUUUUGUGUUUCCAUUGAUCAGCUCCUGAAGCCUCAUGAACCUGUGUUUGAUGAUGAAAGAAUCAUCCAUGUUCAACUGAACAUAAGCCAAAAUACUAAACGAUUGUGCUGAUGGAAGUAGGCAAAAUCAUUUCCAUUUCAUUGUUCAGAUAUGUGAGUCUCACCGAGCACUUUUUCAGAAGCAAGCUUCAGCUCAAUCUCUUUUUUCAUAUAAACAGAUGAAUAGUAGAUAGAUUGAAGCAUCAGAGUGUCCUCCAUUCAUGUCAUCCCAAUCACCACAGCCAUCCAGUUUUCAGCUCUGCAUACUGGAUUCUGCAAGUGGAUCAACUUGGCAAAUACAAAAUCAAAUUCAAUCAAGGCUCAAAUGUGAUGUGCCCUCAGCAGAUCUGAGGGAAUAAUCUCCCAGCUAUAAAGCACUGGGGAUAGCCAAUAAAGUUGCUUCAAGAUGUGACUCUGCUGCAACUCAAAAGUCACCUUUAUUGCAUCAGGUCUCACUUCUGCAGCAUCUGCAGUAAGCUGUGACCUGCUG